RNAcentral lists this ribosomal RNA (324 nucleotides) under uncultured eukaryote. RNAcentral's name for it is "partial 18S ribosomal RNA". It matches the Rfam family "Eukaryotic small subunit ribosomal RNA", at positions 1470 to 1796 of the family's 1831-position model. The record is from RNAcentral.
CCCUUAGAUGUCCUGGGCUGCACGCGCGCUACACUGAUGUGUCCAGUAAGCACCUAACCUCUUCCGAAAGGAACGGAUAACCUUUGCAAAUCACAUCGUGAUGGGGAUAGAUUAUUGCAAUUAUUAGUCUUGAACGAGGAAUUCCUAGUAAGCACAAGUCAUCAGCUUGUGUUGAUUACGUCCCUGCCCUUUGUACACACCGCCCGUCGCUCCUACCGAUUGAAUGUUCCGGUGAGCUCUUCGGACUGCGCGGUCUGCAGUUUCUGCGUUCCGUGCGGAAAGUUGCGCAAACCUUAACAUUUAGAGGAAGGAGAAGUCGUAACA